This is a long non-coding RNA of Mobula hypostoma (lesser devil ray), 732 nucleotides long. RefSeq lists it as uncharacterized. Lineage: Eukaryota; Metazoa; Chordata; Chondrichthyes; Myliobatiformes; Myliobatidae. The record is from RefSeq and is a predicted model, not a curated record. The transcript has 3 exons.
CCUCCCAAUAGUGAAAGAGCUCAUAGAAUUUUCACUUCGAAUUCUCAGAUUUCGGGUAAAGCUGGGCCAAUUUUCUUCGCUUUAAAGUUAAAGACCAAAUCAUAAAAUGUGCAAGGAAAGAGAGAGUUUUUAAAUUUAACAGUUCCGAGAUCCGUUUUUAUGAAGACUAUCCACGGGAAGUUAUGGCACAGCGGAUCAAAUUUGUUCCAGCUAUGAAGAUAGCCCACGCAAAGGGACUUUUUCCAUCGCUCCGUUACCCUGCUCGAUUAAAAUUACUUCCUAAAGCACCUUGUGUUUUUUUUGGAUCCCCAAGCGGCUUUGGACUAUAUUAAUUCUAUCGUGGAGUUGGCUGACGUAUGAAGGAUAUUAGGGUUGCUGAAUAAUUUCCUGAAAGAAAACAGGCUUUGAAGAUUUCUGAUAUGCUGAAGAUAUCGCUUGAUCGAUGGACUAUUUAAAGAAAGAUUUCUCCAGCACCAAGACAGGAAUCUGAGAUUCGGGCUCCCAUCACCUGAAUAACUGCUGAUUCCAAGCAGAUUGAGCUUUUAAAUCUCAGCCAGCACCAGCCUUGCUUUUGGUUCCGGCUCUGAGGUCACGUGUGCCCGCUCAUGACAGGGCUUGGGUUCCAGCCCGAAACGUCGAUCGAUCUUUUCCACGGAUGCUGCCCGACCUGCUGAGUUCCCCCAGCGUGUUGUGAGUGUUGCUUUGACCCCAGCAUCUGGGGCUUACCAUUUG